Molecule: ribosomal RNA, 207 nt
Filed under: uncultured bacterium
Lineage: Bacteria
Description: partial 16S ribosomal RNA
Rfam family: Bacterial small subunit ribosomal RNA
Source: RNAcentral
CGCGUAGGCGGUUUGUUUAGUUAGGCGUGAAAUUCCUGGGCUUAACCUGGGGACUGCGCUUAGUACAGGCAGACUUGAGUUCGGAAGAGGGUCGUGGAAUUCCCAGUGUAGAGGUGAAAUUCGUAGAUAUUGGGAAGAACACCGGUGGCGAAGGCGGCGACCUGGUCCGAUACUGACGCUGAGGCGCGAAAGCGUGGGGAGCAAACA